Molecule: transfer RNA, 73 nt
Filed under: Metallosphaera hakonensis JCM 8857 = DSM 7519
Lineage: Archaea; Thermoproteati; Thermoproteota; Thermoprotei; Sulfolobales; Sulfolobaceae
Description: tRNA-Gln
Rfam family: tRNA
About the family: Transfer RNA (tRNA) molecules are approximately 80 nucleotides in length. Their secondary structure includes four short double-helical elements and three loops (D, anti-codon, and T loops).
Source: RNAcentral
AGCCGGGUAGUAUAGCGGCCAAGUAUCCAGGGCUUUGGCCCCUGGGACCAGGGUUCGAAUCCCUGCCCGGCUA